GUGAACCAAUAUAUGUAUGUCUGUUUCUACUGUUACUUGCAGCUCAAUGGAACCCUGUAAUAUACAUGAACAAGUUUCUGGAAUUUAUGAGCUUUCAACACGUUUUGAGCUCUGCAUGGUUAGCCUGAAGAAAUCUUCUAAGAGUGGAGGAGGAACACGCAGUUGCUCUUUAAAUACUCUCACCUGAAGAUACUUUCCUGCCUGAGAGUUCAAACUUAAUGGAAACUAGCGAAAUUGUUUUCUCCUAAGUGUUGUGGUGAAAGGUGUGUAACUUUACUCUCAGCGGCAUCUCUUCUCCCUCCUCUCCUCUCCAGUUCCUUCCCUCCGGCUCAUUCCUCUAGAUUUACAAAUACCCUGGAAAUCAAGGGAAAUGAAGAAAAGGUAAAUGUGGCUCAUAAAUCAGCCACAAUGAGGGAGAGCUGCAUGCAAACAGGCCAGGAAAACGAGCUCAGAAUGGUAAAACCACAGAGAACCAGGAUGUCAUUUAGACCAAGCCAUCUUGUUAACCAUUAAAAUAGAGUUCAAAAAUGGUUGAGCUUAUCUAAGAUUGCGCAAGUUGCAGUAGCAGAGGUAGGUCUAAAAAACCCUUUUCCUGCCUUUUAAUGUGAUGAAGUUUACCCAAAAAUUUGUGCCAAGAGAAGAGUUUUAUUCAGAGAUUUGUGUGUGGUCAAAGCGUUGGAGGGACAGAAAAAGGUCCAAUGUCCAGUGGUUAAUGCUUGAGUGCUUUAUUGCCAGUGCAACUGGCUGCUUCUUCACUUAUUUUUAAAGUAUAACAUCAAAUUUGCCAACAGAGAACUGGUAUUGGCAGCAGCAAUUUUUUAGCAAUUUUAUUUCUCUACAAAUAAAUUAAGAGCUAAGGAGAGAUGGAUCAACAUUUGGGGGCACAAACUUACAUUUAUAUAUAGCUAUUUUGAAAUACUAUUUGCUUACACGAUAUAUGCAUGUUAAGUAGAAUUAAAAUUGUUUUUUUAUUUUUCUUUUCUGCUUUUUUUCUUUCAAACCAUCAAGAACGGACAUCUGUCCUAUAUGUUUUCACUUGAAAAUGGGAAAAGAAUUAUUUGAUACCAUAGCAUUUUAACUGACUGACAUUUACUUUGUUGUAAAAUGGCAAUUUCUUGAUCUGACUGUGUAAAACACAUUGAAGGAUUGAUUCUCAUCUCAAUUAAAUGUAU
This 1172-nucleotide long non-coding RNA is filed under the name Macaca mulatta (Rhesus monkey). RNAcentral describes it as "lncRNA (ENSMMUG00000054464.1)". Lineage: Eukaryota; Metazoa; Chordata; Mammalia; Primates; Cercopithecidae. The record is from RNAcentral.